AAACACUUGUGCUCAGUUCUUGAUCCUAUUAAGUUCGCCGGAGCUCGCCGGAUUGUGGUGCUACAUCCGCCGAGACGUAGUCGUUUUACCUUUGGGGAAGAUACGCCAAACCGAAGAGCACUACCGGGGCGAUAAUCUUCUUGCGGGAAGAGUUUCAUCUCGACUCGACUUUGUUUAUACGUAUAAUUUAUUUAUACAGUGUAUUUCAGUUGUAUCAAAUUAUUUGAGUUGUAAUUUCUCAAAUUAUUUACUUUGUAAUAUUU
RNAcentral lists this long non-coding RNA (263 nucleotides) under Salvia miltiorrhiza (redroot sage). Its description in RNAcentral is "long non-coding RNA (SMIL_LNC009209)". The record is from RNAcentral. Lineage: Eukaryota; Viridiplantae; Streptophyta; Magnoliopsida; Lamiales; Lamiaceae.